Molecule: long non-coding RNA, 10703 nt
Filed under: Coffea arabica (coffee)
Lineage: Eukaryota; Viridiplantae; Streptophyta; Magnoliopsida; Gentianales; Rubiaceae
Description: long non-coding RNA (CARA_LNC004041)
Source: RNAcentral
UUUUUUUUUUUUUGGGGUGCAAGUGCAAUAAAUAGAUAAAAUACGAGUUAAUGCGAACCGAAAUGAAAUUGUUAAGUGAAAAUUUUGAAUUUUGAGUUACUGUCAAAGGCAGCCAAGGACUGACAAAUGUAUAUAUUUUUUUCUGAGUUUGUAGCUUCAUUUUUUGCAAAAAAAUUGUAUGGCUUUGUAGUGGGCAACGAUGGCUAUGGACACGGAAGCACACUGUAAAAUUAACAAAAGAUUAGACAACUCAUGUCACUGGUGUUGUUAGAGACGGCCGGCCAAUUCAGCUGUCUUUUCAUUUAUCUUUAAGACUUUGGGGCUGAGGGCCAAGGUUUGUUUAUGUAUCGUCAUUUGGGAAAAAAACAAAAAAGAGAGAAAAAAUCUAGCUGAGCUGUUUAGCAUCAAGAUUGAUGAUGGAUCUUCUUCUUUCACUACUAUUUAAGUACGUGUACAUGUCGAAAUGGUUUAAACAGGGAUCUUGUUUGGACAAGACAAUUAGGGGAGGCAAUCCCGAUAAUUGAAAGGGUGAGAUACGAGAAACCCGACAAAAGAAUUAGAGGUAGCUGUUUAAUUUAAUUAAUACCUCAAUGUAACCGAGAUUUUCUGGGUCUAAUUCUUCCAUUAUUAAAUCAGCAUACUCUUCGGCACGUUCUUUCAAUGUGGACAACUUAUUCGCAGAAGCACUCAGCAUUAUUAGCUGUUUUUUUCCAAUAUAACCACCAAAAAAAAAAAAAAUCAGAUAGAGAUUAGGCUUAUCUUAUGCUUAUCCCAAGGUCAAACCAAAAAUUAAAAUAUAAAAAAAAAGUAAAAGAAAAAUGAGUUGCCUUGCCUGAGAGAUACAUAUUCCUACCAACUACUACUUGUGUCUGGUAUGCAUCUCUUUCCCUUGAUUCGGAACUUUCUUUGGGGUAUAUCGCUGCACAUAUCUCACUUCAAACUCUUUUUCCUUGCAGUAUCUAGUUGAUCUUGCUGGAAGUGAACGUGCUUCUCAAACAAAUGCAGAUGGUACAAGGUUCAAGGAAGGGAGCCAUAUUAAUAGAAGCCUGCUGACUUUGACAACUGUAAUUAGAAAGCUAAGGUAGCAGCUCAGGGAUAGGAAAUACUGGUAGUUUAGCCUUUUGAUUUGAAAGUUCUCUGUAUGAUCUUGUUGGUUAGCUGAUAAGAGUUUUUCAAACAUAUCAAGCUAUUUCUCUUGCUGAUAUGAUGAGUCUAGGCAUUCUUUUAUGCUGAUUUUAGAAUCAUAGAGCUAGAUAAGUACAAAGGCAACAAAUGAAUAUAAUCUUUAUUUUGCUAUGUGCAGUGGUGGCAAGAGGAUUGGUCACAUCCCAUACAGGGAUUCAAAACUCACAAGAAUAUUACAGUCUUCAGUUGGGGGAAAUGCACGAACAGCAAUAAUUUGUACAUGAGUCCUGCUCUGGGUCAUGUGGAGCAAUCACGGAAUACACUCUCCUUUGCGACAAGUGCAAAAGAAGUUACAAAUAAUGCACAUGUGAAUCUGGUAUGUUAGCAAAAAAUUUUGGUUUAAAUGAUUCACCACUGUGUUGCAUAUUAUGACGUUGUUUGUUUGUCAAAUAUGGUCAAAAGUUUGUAAAACUUCCACUAAAAGAAUGACUUGUUACUAAACAGAAUUUCAUGUUUAACCAAUUGCUUACAAAAGGAACAUUUUUCAAUUUUGACGAGGCAGUAUUAUCAAAAUUGUCCCAACUUCUUGUGGAAUCUAAUUCUACUCCGGAUGGAACCUUGAAUUUGAAUAACUGAUCACAUGGAUUUCACUGUGUAUUUCUAUCAUUUUUUCCAGCAGGAUCUAACCAUGCCAGCUCAAGUUUAUUUUGAUCAAUGAAAUGAAGUAGAAAUAAGUAGGUUCUUCUAUCUUCAAAAACUGAAUUCUUAUAACACGAACUGAAAGUGCAACUUCCAAUGAAAAUAUUAAAUAGAUAAAUGAACUUUCAGCUUUACCAUGUUAGAUAUCUAAUUGAGUGGGAAUAUUUACCCUAAGGACUGAGUUUGACUUAUUUACUUUGUUAAUUGACUCUUGAGUUUGGUUUGAUUGGCUGCAAAGGAAAUGCAGAUGGCCACACUCUUAUGAACUAAUAUAUUACACUAGAAAACUUGGGGAUGAAUUAGUUCAGUUGACAAACUGAAAUAUCUUGAAAAGUCACAGCUAUUCUGGUAUUAUGCCUUCUGUAUAUCAAUAUCAUUUCAUGGAUAUUCUCUUUCAUCUUUGCACUAUUCUAGUACACUAUUGGAUACUCUCUUCUGUAUAUCAAUACCUUUGUACUAUUCUCUUUCAUGGAUAUCAAUAUCCUUUCAUGGAUAUUCUUGUUCAUCUUUGCACUAUUCUAGUACACUAUUGGAAAGUUGGGGACGAUUAGUCCAUUUGCUAAACUGAAAUAUCUUGAAAAUUCACGGACCAUUCUAGCAUUAUGCCUUCUGUAAAUGAAGAUUCUUUCAUGCAUACUCUCUUUAUCUUGCUGAGUAGAAGGAUUGUUUGCACUGCUGGGAAGCGUGGCAUAUUUAUUUGGUUCAAGCACAAUGAGCCAUCAAUAUGAUAAAAGUCCUUAGUUUGAAAUUUAUUUCCACUUUUCUAGGUUGUUGCAGAAAAACAAUUAUUGAAGCAUUUGAAGAAGGAGGUGGCAAGACUUGAAGCAGAGCUCCGAAGUCCUGAACCAUGUGGCUCCUCGUCUUUAAGGUCCUUACUAAUUGAGAAGGAAAUGAAAAUCCAGCAGGUAGACUACAAAGAGCUCUUUGGGUAGAUGUUAAUGCUAAUGUGCAGUAAACCAAGACACUUUCAGAUGGUUUUUGGUCAAAUUAUUGUUUCACUUCUGUUUCUCAGAUUGAUUGCAUGACACCCAAUGUUAGUGGUGCAUUUAGGAAUGUGCUAUAUACAUACACUUGAAUGAAGGCACAAGUUUUAAUAGCAAAAGUUUUAAAUGCAGAUGGAGAUAGAAAUGAAUGAGCUGAAACGCCAAAGGGACAUUGCAGAAUCCCAGCUUGAAUUAGAAAGAAAAGCACACAAGGAACCAAAGGGAUCAAAUCAGCACGGUCCGUCUCGUCGUGUAGUUAAAUGUCUUUCUUAUACUUCUGAGAACGAGUCAGUUUCUGGAGGGCCUCUUCCAAAAAUCCAGCCCAGGAACUUAACUGGAAGGCAAUCACUGGUUAGACAGUCAGCUACUUCUUCAUCCAUGCUGGUGCAUGAGAUUCGAAAAAUUGAGAUGAGCCAGAGGCAGCUUGGUGAGGAAGCGAACCGUGCACUUGAUUUACUUCACAAGGAGGUUGCUUCUCACAGAAUUGGUAGUCAAGAUGCUAAUGAAGCUCUGGCAAAGCUGCUUGUAGAAAUUAAGGAGAUGCAGGCUAUCGGUUUAGUUCCCGAAACUAUUGAGAUUAAAGACAAAGGUAGCUUGAAAGAAGAGAUUGCCCGAUUGAACACUCAGGAGACUAAUAUUGCAUCUCUAGAAGAAAAGCUUGAGAAUGUUCAGAGAUCCCUAGAUAAAUUAGUGACGUGUUUUCCAAGUGGAAAGGGGACUCCUGAUUUGAGGACUUCAGCCAAAAAGAAAAAAGGUCUUCCAUUUACACUGAGCAAUUCACCUAACAUGCCAAACAUGAUAAGAUCUCCAUGCUCACCUGUGGAACCAGGGAUUGAAAAUAGAGCCCCAGAGGCUAACAAUCUUUCAUCUGGUAGUGAUGGCUUCUACCUUCGAGAGAGCACUCCUCGUAGAAAUCACGAAGCUAACAAUAUCUCAUCAGCAGAGACUACCCCUGCACCAAAGCAUUCAACCUCUGUUGGUGUGAAGAAAAUGGAAAAGAUGUUCAAGAAAGCGACUGAGGAGCACAUCCGGAGUAUACGAACUUACGUCACAGGGCUUAAAGAACGUGUCGCAAAGCUGCAAUACCAGAAACAGCUUCUGGUUUGCCAGGUAAGAUUUAUUAACUUCAGGCUGUUCUUCUUCUCUUUUGGUUAAAUGAGGUUCUUAUUUAUAUGAACUUAAGAGCGGCGGAAAAUGACUCAACUGGUAUGAGAACAUGUUGAACCAUUCAACUUCCCAUUUCUUGUUUAUACAUAAACAUGGAUAUAUUAGGAUAAAGCUGGUAAUGAUAAAAGUACUUGAGUUUGAAAUGGUCUGCCAUGAAAUUUUAUUGUAUCAUAAUGUUGUAUGGGCUUGAGAAAAAAGCAAGCCUUUAAUAGCUGCGGGCACGUGGUGUAUUUUGUUUUUCAGUUGUUCUUUGAACAAAUGUUUGGUACCAUUUUAAUAUCAUUGGCAGCAGCAUCUGCCAUAAGUAUUAGUAUCUGAGCUUUGGAAUCUGAAUCAUUUUUCUCCGCUCCCAGUCUCUUUCUUUUGGGUAUUGCAUUCUUCACUGAAUGAGUUUCUUAUCUUUCUAUGGUCACUUUUUACCAUAUUUGUAUUAGGUGUUAGAGCUGGAGGCAAAUGAAGCUGCAUCUGAUGGACCCGAUAAUAUUGAAGAAUCUAGCAUCUCAUGGCAAUCAAUGUUUGAAGAACGAAGGAAGCAAAUUGUCAUGUUGUGGCAUUUAUGCCAUGUGUCAAUCAUACACCGCACUCAAUUUUAUUUGCUGUUUAAAGGGGAUCCUUCAGAUCAGAUAUAUAUGGAAGUUGAACUUAGAAGGUUGACAUGGUUGGAGCAGCAUUUGGCAGAUCUUGGUAAUGCAAGUCCAGCACUUUUAGGUGAUGAUCCUGCAAGCUUUGUGUCAUCAAGGUAUGUUAGAAGCGUUUCAGAUUGACUACUAUACAUGCGGGCAUGCAAGUGGUGUAGUUUUAUACCUUUUCUAGUUGAUUUUUUCUUGUCUAAGUGCUCUAUUACUUGCUUUGAAAUGCAGCAUCAAGGCCCUUAAGCAAGAGAGGGAAUAUCUAGCAAAGAGGGUGAGUACAAAGCUGACUCCAGAAGAAAGGGAAAUGCUAUACUUGAAAUGGAACAUCCCACCAGAAGGGAAAGGCAAAACAAAGAGGAGGCUGCAACUUGUAAAUAAACUGUGGAUGGACCCUCUGAAUAUGCAACAUAUAAAGGAAAGUGCUGAAAUUGUUGCAAAACUCGUGGGGUUCUGCGAAACUGGUGAGCAUGUCUCCAAGGAGAUGUUUGAGCUCAAUUUUGUCUCCCCUUGUGACAAAAAGACUUGGAUCGGUUGGAACUUGAUAUCCAAUCUCUUGCACUUGUAAUCACCAACCUGUUAUUAGUGCUUCGAAUUCCACUCAAGUUUCUGAGAUCAUAGCUCUGACCAACCGUUUGUAUAGAAUGUCUGCCUGUCUAUCUGUCUGUAUGGUCUUAACUCCAGCUUUUGUAGCGGUAACAGUUCAAAAUAGAUGAAUGAAGAAAGCCCGUUUCCAGAACAGAAACGAGUGCUUGAAAAAUGCCCGUUUUUCUUCUUUUCUUGGGCUCAAGUGUCUGUUUUUUGUGGAAUGAUCAUCACAUAGUUGAGCCUUCAAGUGACUUUACUCCCAAGUACGGGAUAGCUCCAGAUGUUGUUUGGACUCUGGACUAAAGAGUUCCUUGACAGCGCAAAGGCGUGAAGAUGAUGUGCUGCUUUGCCUGGUUAAACCAGUAAAAAAAACCAUGACCUGAAAAGAGGCGCAUCUCCUUUCAAAUGAGGGACAAUAAUGUCUACUGGAAUAAAAAAGGGGGAAGAAAAAAAAAAUAUAUAUAUAUAUAUAGUUGUCCCACUCAUAAAAAAUGUGAGCUAUAAGACAUGGUUAAACAAUUAAGAUUCAAAAACUCGUUUGAAGGUGUCAUUUGUUCAUAAACUUGGAAUGUGUGUAAUUAUAAAAUUAGAUGUUUAAUCGAUUAAUCAAUUAUUGAUCAUACAACUCACUGAUAAAGGGUAAACCAAAACUAAUCUUAUCUAUAAUAAUUUACUACUAAUCUUUUUUCAGUACUGGAAUAUAUUCAAUAUUCAUCCUCCUUUUUUUUUGUUUGUUUUGUAGAGAAAAAGAAAGUAAAAAAAAAAAGAAAAGAAGAAGAGAGACGCAGUAUAUAUUGGAAAAAAGUGAAGGGCAAAUGAGUCUUUUCAGCAAGUUAAAUAUGUCCCCAGUGUUAUGUUAUCAGCAGCUGCCCUAAAACCUCUUGAACGCUACCCGCAGUGCAAACUUCGGACGUAAGAUUACCUGCUGAACUACGUCGUAUUAUACACCUCCUCCGACCAUCUUGAUAUUUCAUGGGAAGAGAAAUUAGCAGCGGCGGACAAAAAUCCUCCUCUUCGUCGUCGGCGGGGAUGUCGUACACGGUGGAGCAGCUCGUCGCCGUCAAUCCUUACAACCCUGACAUUCUCCCCGAUCUCGAAAACUUCGUCAAUGAGCAGGUUCUCCUUUUUUUCUUUUGUUUUCUGAUGAUGAUGAAUAAGGGAAAAAAAUUCUUAUCUUUAUUUAAUCCAAUAACUAAGGUUUAUUUUGAAUGUUGAAACUAUAAAAACAUGUAUUUUUAGGUAUCUUCCCAAACGUACAACUUGGAUGCUAACCUCUGCCUUCUCCGCCUCUAUCAGGUUAGCCUACCGCUGCAAUUGGUCUUUAAUAUUUGAUUUUUAUAUUGUAAUAAUGCUGAAGUGAUUUUAGAAUCAUGAAAAAUGAACUACUUUUAAUGUUAUUAAAAACGGUUUCUUUUUUGCGGAUUUUGUAGUUUGAGCCGGAGCGAAUGAGUACUCAGAUUGUUGCUCGCAUUUUGGUUAAGGUAAAAAAAAGUUAGAAAACUAUUAACCUUUUGUUUUAUUUCAAAUUUCAUAGUUUUGGUCAACUAAUCAUUUAUCUAAUAUCGUUGAACUUUGUAAUAAUGAACAGGCACUUAUGGCAAUGCCGGCUCCUGAUUUCAGCCUUUGUCUCUUCUUAAUUCCUGAGCGAGUGGUACCUUUUGAUAGACUUUAUCUUUUUUUUUUUUUUGGCACGUUCUUUUUCUUUUUGCAACUUUGUCGAGUUGGGAAAGAGAAUAUGGAAGCUGUUGUAAACAAUGUUAAUGUUGGUUUCUUUUAUUCUUUGGGUUUAUGAAAGUAGUCAUUCUCUUAUUGCUGUAUGAAGGAAUUGUGUUGAUUGAAGAAGGUCACGUGUCAAAAGUAAUCGGGAAAAGUUGAAGCUUUACAAUUAUGAGAAAGUCUUCCAAUUAAAUUUUAUUUCUGGUGUAUUUGCUUUUUUUGUUGUUCCAGCUAAAUAUUUGGUUUACAAGUUACUUUCAAGUCGGUUCUAGUUCUUCCUUUUGUGAGAUCUAGUGAGGCAAGUUAUCUCUAGCUCGUUUGUUCCAGUUCUCUUUGCUGUUAAUUUGCUCUGUAAUCUUUUAUUGUUGUAUUAUUCCAUUGAUACCUGGGUUGUCUACUUAUCAUGUGCAGCCAAGGCAUUUCCCAUCAUGUACAGGGAUUGUCCACUUAUUCAAAGUUCUAGUUGAAACUUGUUUCAAAAAUGGUUCAGUGAACAAUGAGAAAAUCGACUAGUAAGAAACAAAAAGAAUUAUAUCAGUGUUAAGGCCCUUAAACAUAAGAAGAUGCUUCAAUAAUUGUAAAGUUAGGAUGGUAGCAUCUUAUGUUGCUCCUCGUUUUGAAGUGGGACGGUUAGUCUUGAUGAUUGAAAUGAGAAGCUUUUGCUUGUAUCUCUGCGUGGUUGGAUGGAUGGUCCUGGGGUAUAUGUUGGGGUUAAGUGGGAGGGAAGGGGUUUAGGCUGAGUGGCUCCGUGCAGAUGAGUUUAAUUGGGACUUUCUUGCUUAACAAUGCAAACUAAUUUGGCUUCUAGGUGGACAAUUUCCACUUGAAACUGCUAGGUGCCAAUUUCGUGGGGAGGUUAGAAAAUCUCUAUUACGUGAUCUUGGCUUGGUAUGCUAGUAGCUAAGAUUGUUAUAUAAAUCUCCUGUAGCUGGCAGGCUUUGAACAGCCCUUUUAUUUAGGAAAUCGUGGCAUACGCCUUUUGCAGCACAUUUGUGGUCAAACUUUGUUGAAGAAAUUAGUAAUUGAAUAAAAUACUUGUCAUCGGAAUUAUUUCAGGCUCUUUAUGCAGGAGUCUAAACUAUGCAUGAGGUGGUUGCUGUUCUGGAAAUAGACUAUCUUUUUCUAAACAGUUUUAUUUGAUCAUCAACUCAUCUCAUCUGAAUUGGCAGCAAAUGGAGGAACAGUUCAAGACGUUAAUUGUGCUUUCGCACUAUUUGGAGGUACACUUUUACCUCAGACCCUGGCAUAUAUUUUUUAUUAAACAGAUUAUAGAUCAGAAUUUUGAUUCAUAUUCUGCUGCAGACUGCAAGAUUCCGUCAGUUCUGGGAUGAAGCUGCUAAGAGUCGGCAUUUGUUAGAAGUUGUGCCAGGUAUGUCAUAAUGUCUAUGUAAGUUGUAGCAUGUAAGUCUAUGGUUGGUGGUUUCAUUUAAUGAGUAUGCAAAGCAGUACAUGGUUACGAGUCUCAAACUGCUGGAAUCAUCUUAAUAAUCUGUCUUGCUGUUUUUCACAUUCUGUAUUCUGUUGCCUCUUCCCCAGCUUGCUUCUGGCUCUUAUAUUUUACUUCUGCAAUGUAAGCUUUUGGUUGUCUGUAUACUCCUGUUAAUGAGGACGCAACUGCAGGUUUUGAACAAGCAAUUCAAGCAUAUGCAAUUCAUGUCCUCUCCUUGACUUACCAAAAAGUUCCAAGGUCUGUCCUUGCUGAGGUAUGGUUCGCUUCUGAAAAUUGCUUUAUGAAUUUUCCAGUUGUUCUUUUAUUUCAGUAAUGUGACUGCAGAUUUUUGCAAGUUUUUCUUUGUAGAUGUUACACCAAAAAGAAUUACCUAGCUUAUGGCAUCUGGUGCUUAGAUAUUCCCUGAUCCCUGUUAAAGUUUGUCUUGGAUUCAAAUUCCACCACAUGCAUUAUUGCUUUUGCAUCGGUGGUAGAUUUGGUGUUUAAUCUUGUGUUUUAAAACUUCACUUGUUGUUUCGCAAUUCUGCUCUCUCUCUCUCUCUCUCUCUCUCUCUCUCUCAUGGACAUACAUUUCAUGCUUACACCAUAUGAAACGUUUUAUUUGAGUUUAAUCAUAAAAUACUCGUCUGUACUUUUGCCUUGGUAUCAUACAGGCCAUCAACAUAGAAGGUCUGUCUUUGACAAGUUUGUUGAGCACCAUACAGCAAACUCUGGUUGGGUUGUAGAGAAGGGCCAUGUUAAGAGCCCACUCAUUACACUUCCAAGCAAUGAGUUCAACCGUCCAGAGCUUAAGAAAAAUACUGCAGACGGUGUACCAUUCGAGCAUGUCGCCCGUAUCUUCCCCAUUCUUGGCUAAGUAUUACAGUUCAAUGGGAAGGAAAAUAUCUCAAAAAUGUUGUUUGUUCUAACGGAAUUCUGGUGAUUAAGAUGAAAUGAGUUGUAAAAACAGUUUUGCCCUAUAUUUUAGAUGCUUGAAUUCUUCUUUUGGAGAAAUUUUUAGUUGUUGCCACAUUUCAAACAUUGGUUAAUAAUCUUUAGGGUCUCUUUUUUAUAUUAGGUUUGACAUGUUUGCACUGAUAGAAUCUUAAAAUCCAGGACGACAUAGGCACGGCACCCCCAUUACAGAAUUAUACUUUCUAAUGUUCAAUUAUACUCUCUUGUUUUAAGUUCGAAUUACCCAUCGAUCACACUCUAUCCGAUAAUCUGAAUAGCUUAAAAGAAGAGAAUUAAUUUUUAUCAAACUAAAAUCAAUACAUUAUGUUAAAUCAUCACACUAUGUUGAAUUUUAAACUUAGAUAUAGUCAUAGAGAAAUUUAACAUGUUAUGAAGGAUAAAUUUAAUAAUUUUCCAAAAGAAGAUUUAAACAACUACCUCACAAUUUCCCAACAAACAGUUUUACAUAAAAUAUGGCAAAUAACAAUCUACAAGGCAAACAUGCAUGCCAACUAAAUACAAACUAAACUCACAAAUGUCUAAUUUUUUCUUACCCACUGCCAUCUUUAUUGAUAAAAGAUUGAUGCUAGUCUACCACACAGUACUCCUUGGGGUGUUCUCAGUUGUAAGUCAGCUGUGGAUCGCAAUCCAUAGCAUCGAGAAGCCUACAAGGUCAAUCCUUCACACUUUUGAUGGGGAUACAUUUCAACCCAGGCAGCCAAGGAGGCCGACUGAUCUGGCAACCCAAGCAAGUCGCUGAAAAGAAUUGAGCAGAAAGAGUCGCAUAGUGCCAUCCAAUAGAAUAUUGUUUUCGCUGGUUUAACGCUAGAAUGGUACCAAUCAUAACUAAAUUCUUCAGAUGCCUAUCAAACACACAUACGAGAAACAAAACCUUCACACAGACUAAGAAUGCCUACCUUUAGCAGUGUUUGGCCAAAAAGAUUUACCAUUAUUUUUUUGCCCGUCUUGAAAUUUCUUCACCUUGGCUGAUCUUUUCUUAUGCUCCUUCGGAACCGAAGUAAAAUUUUAAGUCGAAACCACAAAAUCAAAACAUAAACUGUCCUACCAAAAGUUUAUUUAAGAGCUUAUUCGCACGAUAAAUUUUGAUAGAUUCAAAAAUAAAUGGACAAAACAAAUCAAUGGCCUAAAACUGCAAGAGACAGGAGCUCCAAUGAGUUGGAUCAUAUUUACACCACUGCAACUAAGAACCGGAGGAUUAGUUGUUGAAGAAAAUAACUACAACGAAGUUGAUGAGAAAGAGCUCCAAAAGAAUCUUUAAAAUUGUUGAUGGCUAUUUACUCGGUGUACGCUAAUGUAUCAGGCUCCGACCGAAGUUUAGACGAUCGAAUUCAUUCUGCAAAUCAGACGCAUGGGCAGAGAGGAAUAAUUUCCAGAAGCUCGUCAAACAAAAGA